Long non-coding RNA from Gadus macrocephalus (Pacific cod), 1994 nucleotides. RefSeq lists it as uncharacterized. The record is from RefSeq and is a predicted model, not a curated record. Lineage: Eukaryota; Metazoa; Chordata; Actinopteri; Gadiformes; Gadidae. The transcript is spliced from 6 exons.
AUAACAAUAAGUUGUUGUCAAUUCAGUGAAAUAUAAAAGAAAGACGACAUGCACACAUGCUAGAAAGGGAGCCAUGAUGUCAACCCGGAAAAAAAGAAUAAACCCUGUUGAGGAAGAAACAUCAUUCAUUCUGCUCUCAAAGGACAAGCCAGGAAUUGAGGGAAAUACAUUGAUAGCGAAAAAGGAAGGGGAGUUUUUGCUACCCAGCCCAUCGAACCAGGUGCCUUUGUCAUGGAGUAUAGAGGAGAACUUAUAUCGGUGGAGGAAUGUCAGUCGAGGCAAUACUCAGAGACGGAGAGUAAAUUUCUUUUUUAGUUUGAAUGGCAGAAACAUCGCUAUUGUAUUGACGUAUCCAAAGAAGAUGGAUCGCUGGGAAGAUUAGUCAAUGACAACAACAAAUCUCCAAAUUGCAGCUAUGGAGAUUCGAAGUGGCCGUGGCGUAAUAAGGUGCCAAUCAGUCAGGCUCCUGCAGUGGAAGUAGAGUCCAAGAAGCUCCCUGCUGCAGAAGACACUUCAUCUAACGAGUCAAAUCUUGUGGAUAAUGUUGGGACACAGGUGCCAACCAGUCAGUCUCCUGCAGUGGAAGUAGAGUCCAAGAAGCUCCCUGCUGCAGAAGACACUUCAUCUAACGAGUCAGAUCUUGUGGAUAAUGUUGGGACACAGGUAAUGGCGAAGUGACGACACUGCUUCCUGAAACUGUGUUACAUUCCUUGGGUUAUUAUCAAAUCAUCAUGUUUGUUCACUAACUGCCCCAUACAGUCCUAAACUCAGAUUGUUGUUAAUUAACAAUUCAGGAGGAUGUGGACAUCUCAUUUUACAAAAGUAUUUCAGUCAGAAAUACUAACUGGGGGAUAGUACAGGGGCAGUGUAACAUCACACACUCGUACAUUUCUUGUUUUGUCCUUGUGGGGCCCCUGAAACUGAAAUCUGUCUUCCAAGUUCCCUGUCAGGAGGCCAGUGUUACACACUCUUUUCUAGUCUUGCCUUAUGGGGCCCUCCCGUUUGUAUCUACAUGAAAUUGAUUUUACUUUAUUAAGAAAACACCUGUCAAUAUCUAAACUCAAGUUUCUAGAGAUGCAAUUUGAAGCUUCAUGAGCAGGUGCAAGUUUAACAAGGGUAUUUUGAAAAUAAUCUACUGCCAUAAGCUGAAAUAUCUUUUUUCAAAGUUCUCUUUCAGGAGGCCAGUGUUACACACUCUUUUCUACUCUUGCCUUAUGGGGCCCUCCCGUUUGUAUCUACAUGGAAUUGAUUUUACUUCAUGAAGAAAACACCUGUCAAGCUUCCUGAGCAGGUGCAAAUGUAACAAGGGUAGUCGUCAAGUCAAAGUCAUCAUGUUUGCUCACAAAUUUAUUGUUUUCUGUAUGUUCAGGUGUUUACUUCCCAAGCAACUUCCCAAGUGGAUUAUUCUGACAGUGAUAAUUCUAUGCAAGUUGCUCAAGAAAAGGUAAGGAAGGUAAACAUGCAUGUACGCCAUAGAUACUGUGAAUGCCAUUACAUGAUCGCCUUUUUUGUCUAUUGUACAGUUUUUGUGUGUGGAGGAGAAUGCAGAUUAACAGCUGGUUCUUCUGGUUCUCCACAUAGUUUUUGUCCAGCUCUGCUAGUCGCCGCAGCUUGUUAUGUUUAUCUGUCAGUAGUUGCUUAGCUUCAUCUCUGAGGCUCUACGACUUUUGUUCUGUUAUGUUUGAAGGGAGUGGACUACUAAUAAAUAAAUGUUAUUCUUUGAUAAUAAAGUUGAAACAAUGGAAAUUACUAAUGUCUUCUGUUAGUUUCUUUGAGCCUCGUGAAGAUAUAAAGACUAGAAAUAUGUGUGUACAAGUGGACCUCACAACGUCUUUGUGCUAGUAAUAUGUGUGUAUACAAUUGGACCUCACAAGGUCUUUGUGCUAGAAACCGGACCCCAUAAUUGGGCAAAAAACUUUUUGGACAAAACUUUGGAAAUCUUUAAAUUUGAAGUGCUGGUAAUUAAAAAGAUUUUUUUUUUAGCUUCCCUGAUU